Long non-coding RNA from Etheostoma spectabile (orangethroat darter), 134 nucleotides. RefSeq lists it as uncharacterized. NCBI's taxonomy places the organism in Eukaryota, Metazoa, Chordata, Actinopteri, Perciformes, Percidae. The record is from RefSeq and is a predicted model, not a curated record. The transcript is spliced from 3 exons.
CAUCAGCCAAUAUGCCAGUAUAUCAAGCCAAUUAAUAGGCAGGCGCAUCUGCGGGCAGCCUAGUGUUAAAAACAUAAAUAGGCGACAUUUUUUUUACAUGGCACCCAGACCAGCUGCCUCCGAGCCCUCCCCCC